GAUGAACGCUAGCGGCAGGCCUAACACAUGCCAGCCGAGCGGUAUUUGUUCUUCGGACCAGCGAGAGCGGCGCACGGGUGCGGAACACGUGUGCAACCUGCCUUUAUCUGGGGGAUAGCCUUUCGAAAGGAAGAUUAAUACCCCCUAAUAUAUUGAGUGGCAUCAUUUGAUAUUGAAAACUCCGGUGGAUAGAGAUGGGCACGCGCAAGAUUAGAUAGUUGGUGAGGUAACGGCUCACCAAGUCAAUGAUCUUUAGGGGGCCUGAGAGGGUGAUCCCCCACACUGGGACCGAGACACGGACCAGACUCCUACGGGAGGGAGCAGUAAGGAAUAUUGGACAAGGGGUUAGCGCCUGAUCCAGCCAUCCCGCGUGAAGGACGACGGCCCUAGGGGUGGUAAACUUCUUUUGGAUAGGGAUAAACCUACUCUCGGGAGAGUAGCUGAAGGUACUAGACGAAUAAGCACCGGCUAACUCCGUG
Molecule: ribosomal RNA, 479 nt
Filed under: uncultured bacterium
Lineage: Bacteria
Description: partial 16S ribosomal RNA
Rfam family: Bacterial small subunit ribosomal RNA
Source: RNAcentral